GCGGCGAUCGUCGUGACGCCUUGAUGUGUGGUGCUAGGGAGUUGUUGGACGAACUCCAGGUUAAAGAAUAGCUUAGGUGUGGUGGCUACGAGGAAUUCGACGGUGUUCUGACAGAUUGGACAAAAUUAGGACUCCCUUCGGGUGUAUCAACUUAUAAAUUGUAUCUUAAAGCUUCCGUACUGUGCAAAUGGUUACGUCACUCUCACGUGACGGCCAGCAUGCCCUCCUUCGGGACGGGGUGUGUCAGUAAUUGUAAGUCCCAUUGUAGCAAUUAAGUAAAAAAUUUCGUAUUUGAAUAACCAAGCAUACCUAUACAUUAUAUUCC
This is a long non-coding RNA of Malus domestica (apple), 325 nucleotides long. RefSeq lists it as uncharacterized. Lineage: Eukaryota; Viridiplantae; Streptophyta; Magnoliopsida; Rosales; Rosaceae. The record is from RefSeq and is a predicted model, not a curated record.